GGUACCACCAGAGUACUUAUGAACAAGCUAUUGGAUUGUCUUCAAAUCCUUUUGUAUGGGUGGGGGGACCACAGUCACGUGAUUAUUAAUUCUAAAAAGAGAAUACAAAGCCAAAAUAUCCCUGGUCAGUUACACCUUCAUUUCAGCAUAAAUAAUAAUCAUUCCUUAGCAGUCAGCCAAGAGGUAUACGUGAAAAGCAAACAAAAAAAAACUCUCAACAGUUACAUAUGCACAUAAUCCGUAUGAAUGAGCAGUUUCAAAAUGAACAAACAGAAAGGCAAAGGGUUCUGAUAACAUUGAAUCACAAUUGGCAGCCUAAGGGUCUACUUUCAAAGAGUAUGAAAAGGGGGCAGUGCAACCAGGAAAAAUAUAGACAGAACAUAAAAACAAACCCUGCAAUCCAGAGAGAAUACCAUCAGAAUAUACCUACAAUCCAUAUAAACUUGCAUCCAGUGUCUAUCACAAAAAAUCAAAGAACACACAACACAGUUGUCAUAGCUCACAUAUACCCAAACAUCCAAAAUACACACAUACACUGAAAUCAGAACCCUCAGGCACUGUUCUAUCACACAAAUAUAGAAGCAGGACCUCUGUAAACAAAGAAUCAACACUCAGAAGGACAAAAGAAGAGAGCAUUCACUCAGGUAAGCAUUAAAACCAUAAAAAACAAUAUUUUAUAUGUGCCCUGAGCAUCAAAGCAUACACGCAUAUUCCAUAAACAUACCCUGCUUUAUAUGGUUUAUGUACUAGACUUAUAUGCUUAGUUCGUAAAUGUUUCUAAUUGAUCAUGCUAAAAUACACACUGGUUUCAACAGAAACAUGUAUCAACUUAAUUAAAAAUGAAAUAGAUGAAAACAAAUAGUGCAUUGCCGUAACCUUAAAACAAGAUGGAAACGGAAAUUGUUGAGCCAUCGUUGAGCCACUGAACCUGUCCCGACGCUAAAGGGGGAUUAAGUUUCCUUAACCUUAGGUGACCAUAGUGAAACCCCAUGGUUGAAUGGCCUCAAUGCCGUAAAGGGGAUAGGUUCCUUCUCAACCUCGGUGGCUAUCAACGCAGGGAGGGAUUUUCUUCGGGCUCGUCGGAAACGACACCCAUUUGUAAAGAAGACAAAGAAGAGAUAAGAGAGGGGAGGAAAUGGCUUGAUUUAGGGAUUCAUUUCCCUUUUGCUUCAUUCACGUGUAAAUGGGGGAUAACCCCAUUUCUAAUUGACUUAAUCCAUCCUGUUUUGU
RNAcentral lists this long non-coding RNA (1230 nucleotides) under Lupinus angustifolius (narrow-leaved blue lupine). RNAcentral describes it as "long non-coding RNA (LANG_LNC003344)". Lineage: Eukaryota; Viridiplantae; Streptophyta; Magnoliopsida; Fabales; Fabaceae. The record is from RNAcentral.